Molecule: ribosomal RNA, 269 nt
Filed under: uncultured bacterium
Lineage: Bacteria
Description: partial 16S ribosomal RNA
Rfam family: Bacterial small subunit ribosomal RNA
Source: RNAcentral
GUCCACGCGGUAAACGAUGGGCACUAGGUGUGGGGGUAUCCACUCCUCCCGUGCCGUAGCUAACGCAUUAAGUGCCCCGCCUGGGGAGUACGGCCGCAAGGUUAAAACUCAAAGGAAUUGACGGGGGCCCGCACAAGCGGUGGAGCAUGUGGUUUAAUUCGACGCAACGCGAAGAACCUUACCUGGGCUUGACAUCCCCGGAACCCUCUGGAAACAGGGGGGUGCCUCCGUAAGGGGGAGCCGGGAGACAGGUGCUGCAUGGCUGUCGU